AUGAAUCCAUCAGACGCCAGAGCUGUGCUGCCUACCCAAGAGGCCCCUGCUCUGCGACCCACGUCUGAGCUUCAUCCUGCUUCAGCGGUGGUCCAAGAGGACACAUCGCAUCCUGCUUCGGUGGUGGUCCCGGAGGACGCAUCGCAUCCUGCCUCAGCGGUGGUCCCGGAGGACGCAUCGUAUCCUGUUUUGGCGGUGGUCCAAGAGGACGCAUCGCAUCUUGCCUCAGUGGUGGUCCAAGAAGACUCAUCGCAUCCUGUCUCAUCGGUGGUCCUGGAGGACGCAUUGCAUCCUGCCUCAGUGAUGGUCCCGCAGGACGCAUCGCAUCAUGCCUCAGCGGUGGUCCAAGACGACGCAUCACAUCCUGCCUCGGCGGUGGAGGACACAGAGGCUCUGGUCCAGCCCGUCCACGAGGCUCCGGUUCAAGGGUCGAAGCCUCCUGUCUCGAAGUCGACGCCUCCCGUCUCCGGCUCUGAAGUGGACGUUUCCAGCUCGGAAGUGGACGUCUCCCCGUUUCCUGUCUCAAGUUUCCCAGUCACAAGUGUUCCUGUCUCAACUCUCCCAGUCACAAGUGUUCCUGUCUCAACUCUCCCAGUCACAAGUGUUCCUGUCUCAAGCCUCCCAUUCACAAGUGUUCCAGUCUCCCCGUCUCCUGUCUCAAGUCUCCCCACAAGUUUCCCAGUCACAAGUGUUCCAGUCUCCCCGUCUCCUGUCUCAAGCCUCCCCACAAGUGUUCCAGUCUCCCCGUCUCCUGUCUCAAGUCUCCCCACAAGUGUUCCAGUCUCCCCGUCUCCUGUCUCAAGUCUCCCCACAAGUUUCCCAGUCACAAGUGUUCCAGUCUCCCAGUCGCAAGUGUUCCAGUCACAGUCCCCGUCUCCAGAGACCCUUCCUCGUCCUCCUCCUCCAAAACCCCCUAUCCCCAGGGUUUCCUGGUCCCGCCUCCUGGUUCCCCAUCGCCGGCCUCCUAGGCUUCUCUGGUCCCACCUCCUGGUCCCCCGUCGCCAGCCCCCUAGACUUCUCUGGUCCCGCCUCCUGGUUCCCUGUCGCCGCCCCCCUGGACUUCUCUGGCCCCACCUCCUGGUUCCCUGUCGCCGGCCUCCCGGGAUCUCCUGUUCCCCCCUCGCCCGCCCUUUUGGGGUUGUGUUUUGUUGGUUCCCUCCUCUCCCUCCCUCUGGUUUUUUCGUGUCCUGUGUUGUCUUGUGCUUGUUGUUGUUUGUUCUUGUUUGGGCGUCUGGUAUCCGCCCCUUGGGGGGGGGGCUGUCAUGGUCUGCGUCUGCCCCUUCCUUCAUGUGCCUCCUGGUGUUCUCCAUCCCUCUCUAG
RNAcentral lists this long non-coding RNA (1320 nucleotides) under Nothobranchius furzeri (turquoise killifish). RNAcentral's name for it is "lncRNA (ENSNFUG00015019094.1)". Lineage: Eukaryota; Metazoa; Chordata; Actinopteri; Cyprinodontiformes; Nothobranchiidae. The record is from RNAcentral.